AUGCAGUCGAACGGCAGCACGGGGGCAACCCUGGUGGCGAGUGGCGAACGGGUGAGUAAUACAUCGGAACGUGUCCUGUAGUGGGGGAUAGCCCGGCGAAAGCCGGAUUAAUACCGCAUACGAUCUACGGAAGAAAGCGGGGGAUCGCAAGACCUCGUGCUAUAGGGGCGGCCGAUGGCAGAUUAGCUAGUUGGUGGGGUAAAGGCCUACCAAGGCGACGAUCUGUAGCUGGUCUGAGAGGACGACCAGCCACACUGGGACUGAGACACGGCCCAGACUCCUACGGGAGGCAGCAGUGGGGAAUUUUGGACAAUGGGGGCAACCCUGAUCCAGCAAUGCCGCGUGUGUGAAGAAGGCCUUCGGGUUGUAAAGCACUUUUGUCCGGAAAGAAAACUUCGAGGCUAAUAUCCUUGGAGGAUGACGGUACCGGAAGAAUAAGCACCGGCUAACUACGUGCCAGCAGCCGCGGUAAUACGUAGGGUGCGAGCGUUAAUCGGAAUUACUGGGCGUAAAGCGUGCGCAGGCGGUCUGUUAAGACCGAUGUGAAAUCCCCGGGCUUAACCUGGGAACUGCAUUGGUGACUGGCAGGCUUUGAGUGUGGCAGAGGGAGGUAGAAUUCCACGUGUAGCAGUGAAAUGCGUAGAGAUGUGGAGGAAUACCGAUGGCGAAGGCAGCCUCCUGGGCCAACACUGACGCUCAUGCACGAAAGCGUGGGGAGCAAACAGGAUUAGAUACCCUGGUAGUCCACGCCCUAAACGAUGUCAACUAGUUGUUGGGGAUUCAUUUCCUUAGUAACGUAGCUACGCGUGAAGUUGACCGCCUGGGGAGUACGGUCGCAAGAUUAAAACUCAAGGAAUUGACGGGGACCCGCACAAGCGGUGGAUGAUGUGGAUUAAUUCGAUGCAACGCGAAAACCUUACCUACCCUUGACAUGGUCGGAACCUGGCUGAAAGGCU
This 956-nucleotide ribosomal RNA is filed under the name Caballeronia glebae. RNAcentral describes it as "bacterial SSU rRNA". It matches the Rfam family "Bacterial small subunit ribosomal RNA", at positions 55 to 1010 of the family's 1533-position model. The record is from RNAcentral. Lineage: Bacteria; Pseudomonadati; Pseudomonadota; Betaproteobacteria; Burkholderiales; Burkholderiaceae.